This 1961-nucleotide long non-coding RNA is filed under the name Sus scrofa (pig). Its description in RNAcentral is "lncRNA (ENSSSCG00060004567.1)". The record is from RNAcentral. Lineage: Eukaryota; Metazoa; Chordata; Mammalia; Artiodactyla; Suidae.
GGCCAUUCCGAAGGGCCAGGACUGCCCGAGGGUGAAUAGUUGAUGCUGAAAAAUAGCCACAAAAGUAGUCAAGUUGGCACUUGGGUAGGAGAGGUUUGAAAACAUAAAGAAUCAUCAAAGAAGGAUGCCACGGUGCCCAGCCCGAAGUGCUCUCAUGCCAGGGCCCGGGGACCUGUUCCCCAGGGAACCUUACCCGGUCAUGUCCCCAGCAGUGGGAGGGGGAGGUGGGGCAGGAGGAUGCGGGCUCUUGCACCCUGCCUGGCAGAGGGCAGCGUGGGCUCCGGGGUGGGUGAGGAACCUGGGCUGAGUGUCUUUCCCACUCACGCCCCUUCUGUGCACACCCUCCUUCCGCCCGGCCAGUGGGCAGCCUCAGGCUCGGCCAGAAUUUCUCCAGGUGGAUUUCUGGCACCCCAACCACCUGGAAUACGAGCCACGGCAGCUCCCAGACCCUCCCCGACAGCCCCUCCUCAGGCUGGAAGCCCCCCUCCCCUCCAGCUGGGUGGCCAUGACCUUCCGAGCUCCCGGACCAGAGUCCUCCUCAGAGCCCUGUAACGCCUUACAGGCAAGACGCAGGUUGCCUGCAAGCGGAGGUCAGCUUGCCAUUUGCCUCAGAAGUGUUUGGAGGGACUGGGGGCUACGUUUCAGCUCACUCCCCAAUGGUCCCUCCAUAGCCAUCUAUAGAGCCCCAGUGGGGCCCCCAGGAGACAGGAGGGAGCAGCUGGGACCUCGUCUCCCCUCCAGGAGGUUUGGUUCUGGGGUGGGACUCCUUAAUGGAGACCCAAGAAGUCGCCAUGGUUAUAAUCAGCUAGACGCUGACUCGUCAGUGGGGACCGUGAGCCAGUGCCUGGCCUCGGGGUCAUCAGAUAAAGACGAUGGAUGUGGGAUGAGAAGUGGCUGGUGUGGCCAGUGUCCUGGAGGAGGCAGGCAGGCUGGAGUCUUCGAAGGACAUUCCACGUGGUGAGUGAUGUGGGUCCAGGUCCGUGGGCAGGGCCGGGACCGGCACUUGACCCCAGGCCUUUCAGAGCCCCGCUGAGCUCUCUCCACCAGGCCCAAGCAUCGAGAGGGGGGGAGGAGGGCUAGCACCCCUCUGCUGCCUGGGAACUGCCCAGGGCGGGCUGGGAUGACUGCGGACUGGGUUCCUGGACCAGCCCCGCGGCCAGAAGCUCCCAGGGACCCGGCAGGUGUCUUAGCUGCAGGGCCAACAUUUGGAUCGGGUCGGGAGCCUUCUGUUCUUAUUUCCCAGUUGAGGUGCGGCCUUCCUGGAGCCCUGGCACCUCUGCCUGCGUUUGCAGCCCUUGGGCAUGUUUACUGCACAGGCGCCUCUCUGAGAUGUCUCUGAAUUUCCCCGAGUCCCAAGCUGGAGGCCAAAAAUCCAGCAGGAAGCAAAUCACCAUUUUCACACCUCCAGGAAAGGCUGGUUACAGGCUGAGCGCCCUCCUGGGGUUCACAGCUGAGCUGGCCUUUCACCCCACGUCCCUUGGUGGGGAGCAGUCCACGAAACAGUCCUGGCCUGACCUCCGGUUGAAUCCGGGGGCCCAGUGCUGUUCGACUUCUUGGCAGUUUUGAGCUUGAAGAGGCUGUUGGCGUCUCUCCUGUGUCACAAGGCCUUGGGGACUGGGGGCCGCCCUGGCCAGGCUGGGCCACCCAGUCUUCAAACAGCACCUUCCAAGUCCCGCUGGACACUGCCUGGGGCUGCCUGAGGUGCUGGUGGCUCUUCCAGGCCCUUCCUCUGGGGGGAAAACGGACCCCACUGUCUGGAGGGGAGAGUCUGGGGCUGGCGAUAGUGUGGCUGAUAGUGUCCACGUGGCCACCGUGGACAGGGGCCUAGGGGGACCUGGAGGGGGGCCCGAGGGUGCUGCAGGAGUCAUCUGUGGCUGCCGUAACCAUCAGCACAAAUGUGGCCUCUUGGAACGACCCCUGCACCGCCUUACAGACCUGGAGGUCAGGAGUCUUCAACGGCU